Molecule: non-coding RNA, 9118 nt
Organism: Sus scrofa (pig)
Lineage: Eukaryota; Metazoa; Chordata; Mammalia; Artiodactyla; Suidae
Source: RefSeq, a predicted model, not a curated record
CUGGAGAGGCUGCCUGCACUCCCGGGACUUCGGGUGGUGUCCGACGGGUGCGACCCUUCAUUCCCAGGGACAGGAGGCGGCCUUUGUACAUCCACUUUUGCAGCUUCCUGACUGUCACUGCAGGCGGCUUGAGUCAAGGCUCCAGCCUCUAAAUGUGGUUUGAUAUGUACUACCUUGGUGAGUGUCUGGUCUCUGUAUCCUGAAACAGUUGGGCCUGAAUCCCUGCGGAAAUCUUACCCACCUUUUAAGACUCCAUUCAGCUGCCCUCUUCAUGAAGUCAUCUCUCAUCUUCCACAGAGACAUGAACCAGCGGUAUUCUGUUCAUACCCACUCAGAAGCCACACAGUCCUGGGAUGUUUCCUCGUGUAGAAGAAGAGAAUGGACAUUGUCUACGUGCAUGGACCUGAACCUUUGCUCUCAGAUGUUUAGUUGGUCGCCUUUCAGGAGAGAUUGUAAUAUUUUAGGAGCUUCUGUGAAAUGCAGCUGAGCAUUGGAAAUCUGCUUCUUGAACAUGUGCGUUCCUUCUCAGUGCAGCCCUUUCAAGAGCGUUAGAACUAAAUCCUGUAAUAUAUUCCCAUUUAACUGGGAGUAUUAAGUCACAUGUGAAACUGCAUCCUGUAAAUGUCUAAUUCUAAAGUAGGACAAGCUACAAUUAAAUACCUUAAAGACAAAACCUACGCAUCCUUAAAACCACAAGUUUCUCAGAUAAACCCCUUGAAAAAGUGAACCGAUAAAGCCUGUAUCUUUCCUAAAUGACUUAGACCUCCGGGUAGCCACAACUGAAGGGAAUUUGCCCUUUUUCAGAGCUGUCCAUCCAGUAACAAGAUCUGAUACAACAUCGAGGGCUUUUGCCCUAAGGAAGUAACAGAUCUAAUAAUGGACCUAGGCAGAGUCACCAGCGACUACUGACAACACAAAGCGAGAAACAGACAACCGACGUUACAUGGCUCUGAUCAAGGACACAACACCAUGUAUGAGGAUUCUUACCAAAAAUGAAACCGGAGUCUGAUCACCCUCAAGAUCUGCUUCCCAGUUUCCAGGAGUUACGGAGAUCAGAGGAGCACGUUAGAAACACCAUGGGGAUGCAACCACGAAAUCCCGACCGGGGAAAGGACAGGUCAGAGGAUCUAGUCUCUUCAGCAUAUUAACCACUUGCAAUUGCAUAAUCUUUUACAAUGUAACUGGAAUCCAACCUUUCAAAUAGAUCCUGGCAACCAUUUAAAGCAAUACACCUUUGGGGGCAGGCAAAUAGUGUACACUUCAGGGAUGACAGGAGGAUGUUGAAAUCGAGGUCCAAGAACUAAAUUCCAAACCCUGAGAUGGUAUCAUGGAAAUGGUUUGAACUCAGAUAGACUUAGUUCAGUCCUCACUUGAUCCAUCGCACGCCCCCAGCUGCUAAUCACGGUGAACUUUGCUCAGCUUUGCCAGCUCCGGAUCAGUAUUCCCCCUCCUCCUGAAAAUGCAGGGCUCUUUUGAAAUACCACCCACCCGCUGCCCCGCUGCCCCUGCCUUUAUGGUCGUCUGCCGCUUCCCCUGUUCUCACUAACAUCUCCCUCCCUCUCUCCUCCUCCCCACCACUUUCCUCGUUGUCCUCACUCUCGGUGACUUCAUGAUUCACAGCAAGGAUCCGCCCAGUACCCUGGCCUAUCAUUUUCUGGAACUUCUCUCAUAAUCUUAUCGUCCACCCACCUAAGCCACCCAGUCCCAGAGUCUCCAUUAGCCUUUGUCGUGACCAGUGGCUGCAAACUCUCCAGACACCACCUCCUGUUUUCCAGCUCACUCCCUCAGCAGCCAGUCUGCAGCCCAUUAAUCCCACCAACCCUCAGUCCAUCUCGCCCUUCCUGCCUUCCCAGAUUAGACCGCGUGGUCUUUGUAAAAUCCCUCCCUGGGGAACAUCCUCAGCUCUCCUGCCCUCCUUUCCCGUUGUUCUCCUCACUUGGCAAAAUCUCAGCGCGGGUUAAAACACUUCCCCACGUGCCUUGCGCCUUGCGUUGCCCUCUGGUGGCUUAAUGCGACUGGAAAGCAAUGCACCACAGACUUCAGGUGGUUCCUCGCUGCUGCCAAGCAGCUCCAGCAAGCAGCCUAGGCCGUGCAUUCUCUUCGCCUUCUUAAUUUUGAUGCCACCACCCUCCUCGCUCUCAGUGAUGAUUUUUCUUUUUGUCACUGAGACAAAGCAAGUGUGCGGGAGGAGAUGGGCCCCAUUCUUCCACCACGCUGCCUGCGGGCGCCUGAGAGCCCCCCAUCACCCUGUGCAAGGCGGGCUGUGCUGCACCCACCUGAGGCCAACGCUCCGGCCUCCUCCGCCCUCCCCUCCUCCCCGCUCUCAUUGCCCUGAGUCACACGGGCUUCCCUGCUCCUCCACCAAACACGCUCCUGCCUCAGAGCCUUUGCAGCUGUUGAUCCCUCUGCCUGCAGUGACUUCUGUGGGAGGUCCUCCCUCCCUCCAUCCAGGUCUCCCCCAAAUGGUACCUCCUCAGAGAGCUGCACCCCGACCGCUUUACCCGAAGUCAUACCCCGACACUACCUGUUCAUUCCUUUUGCUUUAUUUCUCUUCAGUGGACAUCUGACUAUUGAAGAUUACAUUAGAUGUGUAUCUGUUUGUUUAUGUGGCACCAUCAACACCCCCAAGUACCAUAACCUCACCUGGCAGAAUAGGUCUGGCCCGUGCAGGUGCUUCAUGCAUAUUUGUUGAAUGAGUGUGUGAUUCUCGUGCCCAAGAGCAAGUUAACAUGUGUUUCCAUUUCCUCCAGGGUGAAGUCAGUUUGGUACUGUUUAACAGGUUGUUGUUAAGAGGAUUGAAAGAGGUAACAGACAACUUAGACGAACCUUGAAAACAUUACGCCAAGUGAAAGAAGUCAGGGACAAAAGUCACGUCUUUUAGGACUGCAUUUGUGUUUCCAGAAUAAGCAAAUCCAGAGAGACAGAAAAUGGAUUAGUAGUUGCCAGGGACGGGGGAAGGAGGGCAUGGGAUUUCUUUUUAAGAUGAUGAGACUAUUCUAGAAUUAGAUUGCGGUGGUGGUUGCACAAUGUUUAAAUAUACUAGAAUUCACUGAAUUGUACACUUUAAAAUGGUGAAUUUUAUGGUAAGCAAAUUACAUCUCAAUUUUUUUUUAAAAAGCUCUAUUUUCCUGUUUUUUUGUUUUUUUGUUUUUUUUGUUGUUGUUUGUUUUAUCUUUAUACUCCCAGCUAAUAUUCAUGCAAAAUCUCAACCAAAGAAAAUGUUUUAAAGGGAUCUUUAAGACUGGAGUGAAGAGCUCCUGGACAGCCUAGCGGGUUAAGUAUCCAACAGACUUGUUGCUGUUGCACAGGUUCAGUCCCUGGCUGGCCUGGGACUUCCUCAAGCCGCAGGUGCAGCCCGAAGAAAGAGAGAGAAAGAACGAACUUCCUUUUAUUUCCUACCAGGAAUUCAUAGUUCUUUCAUGUAAAUAGAACCAAAGAGCAUUACUUAUAAGCAAGGAACUACUGAAAAAAAACCGUAAUUACUCCGAGAGAGGUAGGUGCUAUCUUAAAUUGUGGUACAUUCAUCAAUUAUUACACAUACAAGAAAGGAGAACAUCAUAUAUGCAAGACCACAAAUGUCCAUUCAGACUGAUGUCUUGACCUGAAUGCAAUGCAGUCUCACACCCGGAAGUGGAUGCUGGACCCAAAGACAGAGGCGCCAGGGAACUCCUAGUGCUCACAGAAAGUGCAGAAAUUCCUGGGAUGUUUCUUCUCUCUGUUCUGCGUGCUCCAGAAACCAAGCAGUCCCGUGGUGGUGACGGCGGAGGCCACAGGGACAGCUGAAGAAGCCAACACUCCAAGGGAGGGGAGCUGGGACCCCCAAGAAGGUGAGACAAACCCCGAACUGCCUUUUUCUCUCUUUAUCCUGCUACUUGCCCUGGAUCAAGCACAAUCACAGGCGUGGCAGCGGAGAGCCAUAACUAACACCUCAGCUUGGGGGCCCCCCAGGAAAAGCAGAGGCCCAGGCACUGAAAAGGACCUGGCAGACAGUGCCAUAGAGCAGAUGCCCGUGUCUCCCCAGGUUCGUAUGUUGAAAGCUAACGUGCUGGUAUGAGGAAGGAGGCCUCUAGGAGGGGAUUCGGCCACAGGGGCUUCACGAGCGGGAUCAGGGCCCUUCUAAGAGACCUCCGAGGGCCCCUCCCCCUCUGCCGCGCAAGAACACACAGUGAGACGGCAGGUGCCUCUGAACCAGGAAGCGGGCCUUCAUCAGUCACCAAACCUAUGGGUGCCUUAAUCUCGGACUUCCCAGCCUCCAGAACUGUAAUAAAGAAACUGUAGAAAAUGAAUCUUAUUGUUGAAGCCACCCAGUCUGGCAUUCUUGUUAUAGCAGCCUGAGCAGACUGAGACGGAUUGUUCAUGAACCCCUGGGCUCACGCCCGAGCUCGGCAUGUGUGGGUCUGAUCCUAAGCAGGGUUUUGAAGUCUGAAACUGAGCUCACAGAUACAUCACCACCCACGUUCCAAACUAACCACCAGGUAACCCACGCGUGGGACAUACCUGAACAGUGCCGCAAAGAUUUGAAAAACUAACCUUGCACUGGAAACAGAGCCCACAGAAAAUGGGUUGAAACUUGCAACUUUAACCUAGCCAGAUGGAUCGUUGGUUAAAAAAAAAUCAACAGUCUUUAUAGGAUUUUAACAAGAUCCAGAGUUUCACUCAAUAUGUCCGGGAUAUAAGCCAACAUUUUAAGGGUACGAAUAACCAGAAAAUCUCAACUUGCACAGGAAAAGACAGGCAGUAGACACUAAUGCCGACUUGACAACAGAUGCUUCCAUGAGCUGUGGUGUAGGCUGCAGAUGUGGCUCAGAUCCUACAUUGCUGUGGCUGUGGCAUUAGUCAGAAGCUGUAGCUCCGAUUUGGAUCCCUAGCCUGGGACCUCCAUAUGCCUCAGGUACAGCCCUAAAAAGAAAACAAACAAACAAACACAGCUAUUACAUAAAUGCUUCAAACAACCAACCACUAACAUUCUUCUUUUCUAAGCUAGGGGUCUAAUCAGGCUACACCACAGCCACAGCAACGCCAGCUCCUUAACCCACUGAGCAAGGGCUGGGAUCGAACAUGCCACCUCAUGGUUCCUAGUCGGAUUCGUUAACCACUGAGCCACGACGGGAACUCCUUUCAUCUCUUCUUAUGAGAAUAUAAAUCCCGUCAUGAAGGCACCACUCUCAUCUCAACUUCAUUGCCUCCCAAAGGCCUCACCUCCAAAUACCAUCACUUUGGGGGUUAAAGCGUCAACAUAUGAGUUUGGGGCGGGGGUGGGACACAAACACGCAAUCCGGAAUAGGUAGGAUUCUCAGCAAUAUGUCUAGCGAUUCCCUAACAGAAGGUCUGCUUUCCUUCCUGGCACUUUGAGCUCUGUGGGGAGGUCCUUGUCUGUGGAGGGACACACAAUGUUUCCACCGAAUUGCAAUUGGAAACUGCCACCUGGAGGUUUGGGGCUCCUCCUGCCACUGACCUAACACAAAAGAAAGAUGGUGUAUCAGUCAGCAGUUGCUGCCAUGAUACUGCAUGGCAAACAACCAUAAAAUCUCCAGGGCAUACAGUGACGAUUGUUUACUUUUUCUCGUGGGUUUGCAGGUCAGUUGGGGCAGCUGUGAUACGGCUACAGGUCAGCUUAGCUACAUGGGCCUUAUUUGGCUGCCUGGCUGAAGGAGCAGCGGCUACCCCUGGCAUGUCUUCUAAGGCCUAGUCUUGGAGCUGACAAGCUAUUUCUGCCCACAUUCCAUUGAUCAAAGAAAGUCGCUAGGCCUAGCCCGAAGACACACAGAUUCAAUGCUUCUAAACCCGUGGUUGGAAUUCCUAACUAGUUCCUAGAGGCUGUUCUCAAACCGUGCUGCGUGCUGUCACACUCUGCUGCCGGUACCCAUUCCCCCCCCCCGGGGGGGGGGGGGAACGACCCCUCGUCUCCAUCAUUCGAGACCUGCAGGAAUUCUCACCUGUCUUCUCCUUGCCUGCCUGCUUUGUUCCCAGCUUUGUACACAUUGGCCCUCACCUGAGUUUCUACAUGCUGCUAGGAAUUCUAGACCAAUCCCCUGCUUCUCUUCCCACACAGAACUGGUUGGAGGAGAGCUAACAUUUAUGGAGAUCCAGCUCUGGCCAAGCAUGACGUCAUAUAUCAUGUCAUUUAUUCCUCAUAACUCUGAGAAACAGGACUCACUCGUCCGCCUCAUGGAUGAGAUGCCAGAAGCUCAGGGAGAGAAAGUUACUUGUCCGAGGUCACAGAACUUGGAAAUGACUAUUGGACUCCACACUAAAAGCUUACAUCAGGUUCCAAGGCCUAAGCUUCUCUCUAUGCUGCACUUCUCUCCCAAACGUCUGGCUGUUUUUCUCCCCACUCUAGCCACAGGCUUAACCCUUUGUUUAUCUAAUGACCUUGUGGGUUCUAAUUGUUGUCUUCGGGAAAUCCGAACAGCUCAUUGCAUGGUCUUGGGAAAAAUGCCUAAUGAGCUGUGGAACAGAGACUUCUGAUUAAAGGGCUCUGAAAAGACUUCGUGAAGGAGGCGGGGAGCAAAUGUUGGCUGGCUAUGGAGUCCCCGUCGUGGCUCAGUCGAAACGAAACUGACUCCUAUCCAUGAGGACACAGGUUCGACCCCUGGCCUCACUCAAUGGGUUAAUGAUCCAGUGUUGCCGUGGCUGCGGUGUAGGCCGGCGGCUACAGCUCCGAUUUGACCCCUAGCCUAGGAACCUCUGUAUGCCAUGAGUGCGGCCCCAAAAAGACAAAACACAAAAAAGCGCUGUCUGGCUCGGAGUGACUGGGGGGCACCCUUGCUAUAGACUCAUGGGACCGUGUGAGCACAGGCAUGGAGGUGGGCAAUUCAGCGCGUGCUUGGCAGUGAGAGGUCUGCCCUGGCAGGAAUGCGGCGUCAGCUGCUGGGUGGAAGGGGGAGAGGGGAACAGCCUUGCUCUUGGGAAGGAGGUCGGCAGCAAGGCUGUGUGAGAGGAGAAGGGCUUGCACCCCAAAGGGACAUCGCAGGGAAGUAAGGAGUGGUUCCUGCCAAGUCCUGUCAGGGAUGAAAGACUUGAUUCCACAGCGUUAUAUCAACAAGAGAAUGAGCCGCCCGAGAAAGCACAGCGAAUUGCUUCCCAGAACUGCUCCUGGAGGACCGCAGGGAACUCGGCGAGCUGGUGGACCCAGGAAAAUGCAUGAGUUAGGUCAGUUACAGUCAAGGCAGAAAGACGAAGUGGAAUUAGGAAGAUGAGGUAUGACUAAAAAGGCCACCAGUGAAGAACCUACCCGAAACCCCCCUUUCGGAAGAUAAGGAGCAGGUCUUCACCAACAUCAGCAAGACAAAUAACCACCAAGUGCAAAGGCUGAACUUGAACUCCUAAUUGAGUGACAAGUCUUCAGAAAAGCCCUAAUGAAUUUCUCUCCAAACACCUAAAUGUCCUAGCAAUAUAAAAGCCCCUCCUGGCAAUGUAGUUUUGACGCACAGAAAUGGGUGCACCCACCACAAAUUCGCUCCUGCAUCCUGAAAAGAGGCAGGCGUUUCUGAACCACUAAACAUAAGAAGGAUCACCGAGGAUUUCUGAUUACCUGCAGCCCAAGAAGAGAAUGGGCAUGAUAUUGUUCUGUGUCCUUUGAAAGACUAGCAACGGAUCAAAGUCACUCACUUGGUUUGUUUGCUUAUGUAUUUAUUUUUUGUCAUUUUAGGGCCGCACCUGCAGCCUAUGGAGGUUCCCAGGCCACCGGCCUACAUCACAGCCACAGCAACACAGGAUCUGAGCUGCGUCUUUGACCUACACUGCAGGUCACAGCAAUGCUGGAUCCUUAACCCACUGGGCAAGGCCAGGGAUCAAACCUGUGUCCUCAUAGAUGCUGGUCAGAUUCGCUUCCCCUGAGCCUCGACAGGAACUGCACACUUGGUUGAUUUAAUAUAUCCUCUGAGCUGGAUAAACUGAUUUCAGAAAUAAAGGUUGGGUCUCACCGAGAUGGCACAGUGUUCCAAGGCUUUGGACUUAAGGGGCUGUCAGUUUUUGACCUAGUGACAGAAUUUUGGUGUGGAAACCGGCCUGACUUAGUCAUUAUACCGACCUGCACACAAGAUUCUAAAUAUGGGCUCUUCCCUGAACUUUAACGAUUUUACCACGUUUUUUCCGUGUUGCCACAUCUCUUUGCCCGUGGCAGCCCCGUGAUCCUGAAUACGCUCCCUCUGCUUUCACCGGCCCGCCCCUGCCUAAGCCAUGCAGGGUCUUCCUGCUCCUGGACUAAAUUCCAGACUUCCUCCCUCUGCCUGCAUCCUGUGGCUUCUGCCCACCUCUCCAGCCUCACCUUUUCCCACUCUGCCCACUCCUCAUCCGUGCUGAACUCCUGACCGCCUUCCGCUUCUCAGAUCUGCAAGGCAUUUCCUGCUCAGGGGCAGUCUCUGCAGAGGACGCAUGGCUGGUUCUUGCUCAUCCUUCAGAUCUCAGCAACUAGAGUCUCUGAUCAUAGGAGCCCAAAGCUGUGAUGAUCCUUCUCACGCAUGUAUUUCACCUGUUUGCUGUCUGUCUCCCUAGCUAGGGUAUGAGCUCCAUGGGAGUAGGGACCAAGCAUGGAUAGGACCAAACUACUUUUCGAGCUGCAGCUCAAAUAUUGUUCUUUCUAUCUUCAGAGCCUGGUACCACAUGGUCAACAGCCAGUGAAUGAAUGAGUGAAAGUAAAAGUGGGGAGAAAGUGAAGCAAAAGGCAGUAGUGAUCUUAACAUAGACACAUAAAUCAGACUAAGACUUGGAGACAAAACCAGGAUUUCUGGAAUUGAGACAACACUCCAAGCAAUCUAUGUUAUCAACAAUAUAGUAUCAUGCAUACACCUUGUAGCUAUUUAUUGUAGGAUAAAUAAAUAGGAUACCUGUUUGUUCUUGUUGUUACAAAAUAAGUUGUUUCAGAGUUGUUACUUUAAUAUUAAAUUGUGGACACUUUAAAAAAUGGAAAACUGAACAAUACUUGCUUCCUUCCCUCCAUCACAGAGCUAAUGCUGAGAGCAAAUAAUUGUAAAUUCUUCCAACUUAGAUAGAAACCUCUAAAUAUCUUCAGGGAGUUCCCUGGUGGCUCAGUGUGUUAAGGACCUGGCAUUUCUGGUUUCUGCUAUGGCAUGGGUUCUAUCCCUGGCCCAGAAAUUUCUGCAUGCCACAGGUGUGG